Long non-coding RNA from Drosophila yakuba, 3314 nucleotides. RefSeq lists it as uncharacterized. Lineage: Eukaryota; Metazoa; Arthropoda; Insecta; Diptera; Drosophilidae. The record is from RefSeq and is a predicted model, not a curated record. The transcript has 2 exons.
AGUAAAAAAAGUAAAAUAACUAAAAUAAUAUUUGUUGUGUAUAUCUACUCAAGUGCUUGCCCUACUUAAAUGUUUUGUUUCAAGUUUAUUGGGUAUGUACCAUUUUUCGGGAAUCGCUUUACUGAUAUCUUCUUUCGCAUACUGAUAUCUGAACUUAGCUUUAAAUUUUUAAAGCAUCAUAACUGCCCAUUUGAUUGACAGUAGUUCAAGUUCACUGGAUGUGUACCAUUCUUGUUCACUUGUUCAUUGUUCGCGACACAAAUCACUGAUCCAAAUGCGGUGAGCUGAAGUCAACAACUGAUCUGGCCCGACGUCUGGCCCAAUCCCAGGUGAAUGUCUUCAAGGGGCACUUCUACACACAUUAGCCGUAUAAGCCGUAUUUUGUCUUCGCCAAUUAGCGGGCUUAUGCUAACUCCAGCAAGUGUGGCAAUAAGUCCACGAGUCGCGGGCCUGGGCGCGGAUUUAAUUCAAUUUAAAAGUGUGCAAACAUUUAUGCAAUUGCAAAUGAAUUUUCUUCUUUCGCCUGCUUCGCUUUGCACCGCAGGCGGUGGGGAAAUUGCUUUUGGAGGCUGGCUGGUGGAGGCACCAUCGACGGAGAGGGCGGCUAUGCCUCCGGGUGGGCGUGGCAGAAUUGCGAAAUCCAGGUGGCAGUGGCUGUCUAAUUAGUUGCUGCCUUUCCCUCGGCGCACACGGCGUAUGGGCAAUAGCUGCAAAUUUGAUACCAUAAUUGCGGGCAGCGCCGCAGCUUCCGUGGAAGUGGAACCAAAUACCCCUGGGCCUCCAACGGCCAAUAUUCAUGUGUAUGCACUCCGAGGGAGUUCAUGGCGGCCAUUGCACAGGGAGAAAUAGUUCAAUGAACUAUCAGAUUCAUUUAACUAAAGAUCGUCCAGCAAUCUGUAUUGUAACAGUUUUAGAUUUUGAAAUAUAUGUUGUCAGGCGCUAUAAAAGUAGUUAAUCCUGGAGAUAGUUAAUUAAUUAUAUUCGCCAAUUGCUGUGCUUAAACUUUAUCCUAAUAAAAUUAUUUGGCCAUAAAUUAAAUCUGCCCUCCAUAUGGAAAAUUCAAAUCUUUCUAUGAAAAAAAUAAUAGUACCAGAAACUGCCAUAUUUAAAAACCAUUUAAUUUAAGAAAACGAACUAAGAAUAGAUGGACCCCAAUGUGCCCCAAUUGAAUGCACAAAAUGACAAACGCAGAAGGUUGACGACUCCAUGACCAGCGACUGCUCUUGAGGCCUGCCCCCCAAAUGGAAUCCGCCAUAACCUAGUUAACGUUUGGGUGGCAGUGGUGGCACCCGUUCUCCGUCCUCCGUCCACUAUCCACUAUACAUUGUCCACUGUCCAGUGGCGAUUGCGAUUGCAACACUUUGUGGCAACUAAAACGCGUGCAACUUUUGGCCGCUUUUGGACCAGAUCGCCUUACAUCUCUCUGCGUUUUCAGUUUCGUUUCGUUUCAUUUUCAUUUUCAUUUUGGGUUUCGGUUUCGAUUCGUUGUCGUUUUGGCAUUCAUGACAGCAAACCCGUUUGGUUUUCAGUUUCGAUUGCUGCCGGCCAAUUGCCGUGGGACGAGUUUCGAGCGGGCUUUCGAGGAGGCCGCAGCUGCAGGAUGGCUCUUCAGAGGCUUCUGUGCUCGCGGAAUUCCAGCCAACGUCCUUAAAGCACUCAAGUUCAAAUCGCCCGCGAUAGAUCGGCUAUCUGAUCCACAGAGGUGAACAAACCUUCGCCGAGAGUGAAAACUCAUUGGGAUGCCGGGCGUGAGCUCGGCCGUUCAGUAGCUGGCCAGAAUCACUCAAAUCGCUUGAAUUGCGGCUGCGGAUAUUGCAUAAGCGGCUGGCCGAAAACGGAAGGCGUAGAACGGAAGCCAAAAUUGGUAACGGAAUUUUUCGAGUAUCCGUCUGAGGAGAAACCAAUUCUCAAGCGGAUAUCAGGCAGUGAAAUACCCUUUCAGCAGUAAAAAAGAUAUCAAUGAAGUCUAAGUUUGAUUAACCCAUGCAAAGUAAUUAUUCUGACUAGACGCUAGGCUCAUUGAUAUGGUUACUCGAUUCUCAAUGUUGUUGCUCUCGAUUUGAACCCACUACUAGCAUUAUGACUUAAUCUGGCAUUACCUGAAGGGCCAUUGAGUUGGAUGGCAAGGCAAGGCAGCUUUUGAGUUAGGAGUACUACCAGUAUUAGAUGUAAUUAACGAGAUCUUUGGCCGAAAGGGGAUCAGUAGCCAUCAGUAGCGGAUCCAUUAAUCAAACUGCCGCACAGCAGGGACCCUGACUCUGAAACUUGCUCUUUAGAUAUAAAUAUUUGCGACUAUAUCGGUGCUAUCGAUGGCACCGCCUUGCGCAUAACAAUCUCUGACGUGGGGAACGAUGACGGGCAUGCGAAUUCCGAAUGACGUGGCUCGAGUUCUGGCUAAAAGUGCGCGGGAGUUGGCAUUCGGGCAUCACGAUGCUACCAAAACGGCUGGCAUUGCGGCCAAGGAUGAGGCUGAUCAACUGUGGUGCCACGAAGCGGCAUAGAAUGCGAAUUAGACGAGGAAUUGGCCGGGCUAAUGAGCUGAGGGCAGAAAACAUCUGAAGCUAUGCAAAUCGCUUUACAAACUUGAGAUAGUUUGGCUAGUCGAUUGCCCGACCUCGGGCUGCAACCUAGCUUGGCUGCAAUUAGCCAGGGCAUUAAUCAUACGCCUCGUUGGCCAGGCCAGCUCAUAAUUAUCUCUGCAUGCGGCUGUCGAUCUAAAUACGGCUAUCAUUUCGAAACACACUUGACCCGAGCAUUGCUAAUGAUGAUGUAUUAUUUGAUACAAUCCGAGCAAAUCCAAGGUCCAUCAAGCAUUUAAGCUCAUCCUCAAACUAAAAGGAUUAAUCACAUGCGUAAUUGGUUUUCCAUCAGGCAUUUACCCUAUACUGAACCAAUUUCAAGAAGCCUUUAAUUGCUCUCUUUGGGUAAUAGUUUCAGUUUCAGUUUGAUUAAUUCGGUGAACGGAAGUGGAUCUUGUUCGCAUAGAAUUCCAUUGAAAUGCAAAUUGAAUUAAAUUAUCAUUAAGCAAUUCACUCGUUACGGGGUGAAUUGAAUUGGGGAAUUAUUAUGCGGUUGCAUGAAUCUCAACCAAAGUAAUGUGCAUACUCCUCCACCAAAUUAUCCGUGGGAUGAAUUUCAUUUAUUGAAUUGGAGAGAUAAAUAUUUAUGGAAUCGGGCACUAAAAUGCAAUGCAAAUUUAAAGCUCUUUUUCCAUGUAUAUCAACUUUUCUCUUUAGAUGACGAACUAAAAAUUGUGUAUAAUUUUUAUGAGAAACUAUAAAACGUAUUAUUGCUUAUUGAUUAUUAUUGAAAAA